This 825-nucleotide ribosomal RNA is filed under the name uncultured organism. Its description in RNAcentral is "bacterial SSU rRNA". It matches the Rfam family "Bacterial small subunit ribosomal RNA", at positions 610 to 1437 of the family's 1533-position model. The record is from RNAcentral.
UAACUCAGGGAUUGCCAUUGAAACUGUUCUACUAGAGUGUAAGUAGAGGACGGCGGAAUGAGUUGUGUAGCGGUGAAAUGCAUAGAUAUAACUCAGAACACCUAUUGCGUAGGCAGCUGUCUAUACUACAACUGACGCUGAGGCACGAAAGCGUGGGGAGCGAACAGGAUUAGAUACCCUGGUAGUCCACGCUGUAAACGAUGAUCACUCGUUGUUGGCUACUUAGUAGUCAGUGACCAAGGGAAACCGAUAAGUGAUCCACCUGGGGAGUACGUCGGCAACGAUGAAACUCAAAGGAAUUGACGGGGGCCCGCACAAGCGGAGGAACAUGUGGUUUAAUUCGAUGAUACGCGAGGAACCUUACCUGGGCUUAAAUGCUGGCUGCAUUGGAGGGAAACCUUCAUUUCCUACGGGACCGCCAGCAAGGUGCUGCAUGGUUGUCGUCAGCUCGUGCCGUGAGGUGUCGGGUUAAGUCCCAUAACGAGCGCAACCCCUAUCGCUAGUUGCCAGCAUGUAAUGGUGGGGACUCUAGCGAGACUGCCGGUGUAAACCGGAGGAAGGUGGGGAUGACGUCAAAUCAGCACGGCCCUUACGUCCAGGGCUACACACGUGUUACAAUGGCCGGUACAAAGAGCAGCCACCUGGCGACAGGGCGCUAAUCUCUAAAACCGGUCUCAGUUCGGAUCGAAGUCUGCAAUUCGACUUCGUGAAGGUGGAUUCGCUAGUAAUCGCGCAUCAGCCAUGGCGCGGUGAAUAAGUUCCCGGGCCUUGUACACACCGCCCGUCAAGCCAUGGAAGUCGGGGGUACCUGAAGUCCGUAACCGA